UGACCUAAGUAAAUAUUUACCUCUGCCAGU
RNAcentral lists this non-coding RNA (30 nucleotides) under Mus musculus (house mouse). The record is from RNAcentral. Lineage: Eukaryota; Metazoa; Chordata; Mammalia; Rodentia; Muridae.